GAGGGUAUAGCUCAGUGGUAGAGCGCAUGCCUAGCAUGCACAAGGUCCUGGGUUCAAUCCUCAGUAUCUCCA
This 72-nucleotide transfer RNA is filed under the name Camelus bactrianus (Bactrian camel). It matches the Rfam family "tRNA". Rfam says of the family: Transfer RNA (tRNA) molecules are approximately 80 nucleotides in length. The record is from Rfam by way of RNAcentral. RNAcentral also lists the same sequence under 3 other names. Lineage: Eukaryota; Metazoa; Chordata; Mammalia; Artiodactyla; Camelidae.